Homarus americanus (American lobster) is the source of this 1595-nucleotide long non-coding RNA. RefSeq lists it as uncharacterized. NCBI's taxonomy places the organism in Eukaryota, Metazoa, Arthropoda, Malacostraca, Decapoda, Nephropidae. The transcript has 2 exons. The record is from RefSeq and is a predicted model, not a curated record.
AUUAUUAGUUGUAAUUUCUAUAAUGAAACCAUUUGCAUAUAAAACCAAUUAUACAACAGAACACUAACUUUAUUUAUGACAACUAAUGAGUCAGCUCACAACAUUUUAUGUAUACUGUAUAUAAAUUCAUAAAUUAUUAAACUACACACACAUAUAUGUAAUGAUAGUUUAAGUAUAUAACAUUUACAGGAAAGAAUUAUAUAAACUGAAGUACAGCAAUGAACAACUGAAUGUAAAUUAAUUUUUCUCAAAUAACCAACAAGACAAUAAUGAAAACUGAUAAUGUUUAUGAAAAAAUUGACAACAGAGAAAUAAUGAGAAAAUAUUCCUUCCAUUAAUAACUUCUAUAUACACAGUACUGUACUCAUUAUGUGAUAGUGAUAAUUAACUCAAUAUAAUUUAAUUUUCCUGCUUUUUCCUCCAAGUUCAAUUUCUGUGUAAGGUCUGCCCAAAAUACAGUCAAGACCAGCUUACUUUUUCUACGGUGAGUCAUUGAAUGCCUAUAUUGUGUAAGCACGUGACAGUUGAGAAGGAGUGUUCACAUAUUGCAGUGCUUGUACCAAAUAAGAGACGACUCAGUGUCGACACCUAUGAGUUUAGCCAAUGGGACAAGAUUUUCCGGAAGUAAUAAACAAGUCUUGGAUUCUGGCCAACGACUAGAAAUGACUGUAAGUAGUCUAAUAUUAUGCUCACCAAACUCAGCAUUGAGUUCACCAAGGCAGUUAUCUAAAAUAUUGUAGUACAGUUGAUGAUGUAAAUCAGCUUCACUAUCAAAACCAUGAACAUUAGAAUGUCUUACAGUUGUUUUAGUCUGUUAAGUAUUGGGGCAGUUUGUGUUAUGCUUUUGCUUUUCCUGAUGGUAUUCUGUAAGGUCGUGAUGAUCAAGUUUUGAUGAGAUAUUCUCAUUGCCAGUGUUGUUCCAGAUGUCUUUAACACUACUGACAAGAGAUUCAAUAAGGUGAAUUCUUGUCAUGAAGUCAGUCAUGUGAUUGUAAAAGCUGAUCUGCAGGUCCAAGUGUCGGCAGAAAUUCCUUCACACGGUAUGCAGUAAACAUGAAUUUUUCUGCAUUUUAUCUGUUUCAAUAAUCCAGUUGCCACACUGCUGCAUCACACUCAUUUUCCUCACAUGUAUCAAGUACAUCCACCAACUUUUUGUGGUUAGCUAUAAUUGCUGACACAGUGGCCGGGUGACGUGACCACUGCUUGCUUUCCAAUAGUAUGCACUACUGUUAACCAAAUGUAGCGGAUGGUUAAAAUUUAAUUAAUUUUGCCACUUACAGUGACCAGAUUAUUGUGCACCCCAUACUUAUCCUGUGAGCAGUAGCACAAAAGAAUUACAGAGUUGAGGUCACAAGGGGUCUGGAUAACUAACCCCAGUGGUCAGGACAUUAUGACAUUGAAUGUUACAGAGUAUUUCAAAUACAUUGUUUGUUUUAUUUUUGUACAUCGAGGGUAACUUAUUCACAACUGCCUGAGUACAACAGUGUGAGGCAAUAUGCCUGGCCACACACUUUGUUAUUCGCAUUUGCAUGAGAAGUAUUCAAGCAUAUUGUGUGUUUGGUUCUAUAGAUGGGAAAUGAUAUAGCAACUGAGUU